Aegilops tauschii subsp. strangulata is the source of this 565-nucleotide non-coding RNA. Lineage: Eukaryota; Viridiplantae; Streptophyta; Magnoliopsida; Poales; Poaceae. The record is from RefSeq and is a predicted model, not a curated record.
GGUUCCAGCUUUGCUAAUGGGUUUGGCACAACAGGCGUUAACGACUGGCCGCUACUCGAUGCUCCUCAGUCGGAUGGAAACAUUAUUGCUCGCGCGAAAGGACUCCACAUCCAAGCUAACCAGGCGGGCCAUGGUUGGUUUUCUCCGUUCAGCAUGGUCUUUCAGGAGCAGGACUCCAGGUACAAAAGAUCUACCCUACAAGUGAUGGGGAUGAUUGGCCCUGAGGCUACCGGUGAGUGGGCAAUCGUAGGCGGGACUGGAAAAUUAUCCAUGGCUCGUGGUAUUAUCAAGUACAAGUUUCCCCAGAUCGUGACGAGCUUUGAGAAUUAUAGGCAGCUUGAUAUUCAUGCAUUCUACACCCCACAAGCUGUUUAAGGUUCAGAGAACGAAUGAAGCUAGGUUCGAUGCUUGGGUCUGUACAUCCAGCCAGCCAUUUCCCAAAAUUAAUGUCUGCAUGCUUCCAAUAUGACUAGUACUACUAGUUUUAUCAUGAAUGAUAUGAGACGAUUUUUCCUUUAUUUAUUUGGAAAUAAUUUUUGAAUUUGUAGGCUAUGAUGAUCAAUCC